CCUACGGGUGGCAGCAGUGAGGAAUAUUGGUCAAUGGACGCGAGUCUGAACCAGCCAAGUAGCGUGAAGGAUGACUGCCCUAUGGGUUGUAAACUUCUUUUAUAAAGGAAUAAAGCGAGGCACGUGUGCCUUUUUGCAUGUACUUUAUGAAUAAGGAUCGGCUAACUCGGUGCCAGCAGCCGCGGUAAUACGUAGGAUGCGAGCGUUAUCCGGAAUGAUUGGGCGUAAAGGGUGCGUAGGUGGGUUGACAAGUUAGUAGCGAAACUCCGCCGCUCAACAUCGGAACUACUACUAAAACUGGUAGACUUGAGUGCAGGUGGGGCAAGCGGAAUUCGUGGUGUAGCGGUGGAAUGCGUAGAUAUUAGGAAGAACACCGGUGGCGAAGGCAGAUUGCUAGACUGUAACUGACACUGAGGCACGAAAGCGUGGGGAGCAAACAGGAUUAGAUACCCGUGUAGUC
RNAcentral lists this ribosomal RNA (460 nucleotides) under uncultured bacterium. RNAcentral describes it as "partial 16S ribosomal RNA". It matches the Rfam family "Bacterial small subunit ribosomal RNA", at positions 338 to 795 of the family's 1533-position model. The record is from RNAcentral.